This 107-nucleotide small nuclear RNA is filed under the name Mus caroli (Ryukyu mouse). Lineage: Eukaryota; Metazoa; Chordata; Mammalia; Rodentia; Muridae. The record is from RNAcentral.
CUGCUUGCUUCGGGAGCACAUAGACUAAAAUUGGAACAAUACAGAGAAAAUUAGCAUGGCCCCUGCACAAAGAUGACACACAAAUUCAUGAAGCGUUCCAUAUUUUU